GACGAACGCUGGCGGCGUGCCUAAUACAUGCAAGUAGAACGCUGAAGCUUGGUGCUUGCACCGAGCGGAUGAGUUGCGAACGGGUGAGUAACGCGUAGGUAACCUGCCUGGUAGCGGGGGAUAACUAUUGGAACCGAUAGCUAAUACCGCAUAAGAGUAGAUGUUGCAUGACAUUUGCUUAAAAGGUGCAAUUGCAUCACUACCAGAUGGACCUGCGUUGUAUUAGCUAGUUGGUGAGGUAACGGCUCACCAAGGCAACGAUACAUAGCCGACCUGAGAGGGUGAUCGGCCACACUGGGACUGAGACACGGCCCAGACUCCUACGAGAGGCAGCAGUAGGGAAUCUUCGGCAAUGGACGGAAGUCUGACCGAGCAACGCCGCGUGAGUGAAGAAGGUUUUCGGAUCGUAAAGCUCUGUUGUAAGAGAAGAACGAGUGUGAGAGUGGAAAGU
This 451-nucleotide ribosomal RNA is filed under the name Streptococcus sp. oral taxon C08. RNAcentral's name for it is "bacterial SSU rRNA". It matches the Rfam family "Bacterial small subunit ribosomal RNA", at positions 28 to 463 of the family's 1533-position model. Lineage: Bacteria; Bacillati; Bacillota; Bacilli; Lactobacillales; Streptococcaceae. The record is from RNAcentral.